CUGGGCCAGCUCUUCUUUCAACCGCCGGAUCUCAUCCUGCUGCCGGAAGAACAUUCGGAGGAGCUGGGGUGGAGGAAGAGAGGGGCCAGGCGGCCGGGAGAGAGCAGUGGAAAAUGCCAAAUAUAUACUAGGGUGGAAAGAACCACACUAUGAGCCUCCAAGAACUCAUCAACUGGCUUCAAGAAAUAACACGUGACCAUUUUUGCUUCAUCUCUACUCCUACCCAAUUCACCUGUCCCGCUGCCUCCAGGGAUUAUUUUGAAGCAAAUCUCAUUGGUCCCAUGAUUCCACCCAACCCUAGGAAUCGGAACAUCCCCCUACAAUGGUACGAAACAUAUCUUAUAGCAAUUGUCAGUCUGUCUUUCAAAUUUCCCUUCAAGACUGUGAGGUCCCAGAGGUCAGGAAUAGUCUUCGUUUGACAAAUAAUAGUGAUGAUCGUUAAGUUGGUGUGACAAGAAACCUCCGAGAUGGCCGCUGUGUUAUCCCCUCCCCUCAAGGGUGGACUGGGCCUAGUAACUUGCUUCAAAUGAAUAGAAAAUGGUAGAAGUGAUGGUCUGUCAUUUUCAAAAAAACUAUGACUUCCAUCUUGGACACCUUCUCUUGCUCACUCCGUGGGAUACCAGCUGCCACGCUGUCCUAUGGAGAGGUCCAUACGGUAAGGACCUGAGGGAGGCCUCUGGCUGAUAGCCCACGAGGAACCGAAACCCUCUGUCCAACAACCUGUGAGCGAAUGCGUCCUUCCAGCAACCAUGCGAAUGAACUCAGAAGCAGCUCCUUUCACAGCUGAGCCUUCAGAUGCGACAGCAGCCCAGCUGACAGUUUAACCACACGGCCUCAUACAGACCUUGAGCCAUGGGCAUCCAUUAUGAGAUACUAUGAGAUAAUAAAGGUUUGUGGGUUUAAGAAUUAA
Felis catus (domestic cat) is the source of this 910-nucleotide long non-coding RNA. RefSeq lists it as uncharacterized. The record is from RefSeq and is a predicted model, not a curated record. NCBI's taxonomy places the organism in Eukaryota, Metazoa, Chordata, Mammalia, Carnivora, Felidae. The transcript has 2 exons.